CUUCACAAGGCUCUCCUCUUUUGGCAUACCAGGAAACCGAAACAGUCAACGGGCUGAAUCUACUCCGCAGAUAAGCCCAGAAAAGCAACAAGGUCUUCGCACGUCGCAAAAGGAAGAAACCGUUGUUCUUGUCACUGAGGGACCACUGUAAGCCUUGAAUGUUCUCCCACGGAAACCGACAUCUUGCUUUCCCGAGAGGUCGCUUCUCCAGUAGAGGGGGCAAGUCUGUUUUACUGGCUUCUGUGGGUCCUCUAAGAUCUGGUGGGGACUCAGAAAGGGUUCGUGGAACUGAAUCCUGUAGGGUGGGGCUUCCACGUGGCAAGCUGUCUGCUCUGAUGAAAGAAAAAGUGGAAAUGAUGACCUGGCCACCUUGUUCAAGUUCUGCCUUCACUGCUUGUCAGCAUUGCAAUCAUGAGCGAAUCAUGGCACCAACCUAUCCAAGCUUCCCCCCUUUUCACCUGUAAAAUGAGCAGCUCCUGAUACUGAAGAUACUCACAGAGUUACAAUGUUCAAGAGAGAGUAUCCACAUGUAAAAACAAGUGUCCCUUAUAAACAUACAGUACGAUAGAAAUCUGAAGUCAAGUUAGGAUGAUAUUAUAUAGUGGGAGAGUAGUGACUCUCAGUUUUCCACCUGAUUCCCCGAUUAGGGCUGCCAUUGCUUCAGAGACCCUGCCCGAAGAUGCUGGCUUUGGGAUUGCAAGUUUCCUGUGGGGCAUGAAGAUUCUAAGCCCAAGAAGAUUACCGAUCACUAUCAUUCAGACCAGUGUUGGCGGCCAUUGUCUCUUCAGGAAUUCAGGAAUUGAUUUAGGGAGAGAGAGAGUCCAUUUAGGCCAGGUCUUGAAGGACAAGUAAGAUUUCUCCAGGAGGGGCAGGAAGGGGAAGUGGUCUUGGAAGACACAGGAACAAAGGUCCAGAGGUCGACAAUGACGGGGCUCAUCCGUAAUUUUCUAAACAACUGGACUCAGAGGAUAGAUGUAGUCAAGUGAUUCGGUCUCAGAUUUAACUGAGUUUUAUUGACAAUCUCUCCUUAGUAAGCACCGGCCUGGGGAUUUCACGUAUAUCACCUCAUUUAACCCCCCAACAAGAUGGUAUGAUAGUUGUCAAUACGCCUUUUAAAAAAAAGAUUUUAUUUACUUAUUUUUAGAGAGAGAAGGAGAAACAUGAACAUGGGAGAGAAACAUGAAUCGGUUGCCUUUCAUACACUCCCCGACUGGGGAUUGAACACGCAACUGAGAAAUGUGCUCUGACCGGGAGUCGAACCGGUGAUCUUUGGCCUUGUGGGAUGCUGCCCAACCAACUGAGCCACACCAGUCAUGACCAUGAUUAUGCCUCUUUUACAGAUGAUGUGUGGGUACACAUGCAGCUGACCACAGGACCACACAGAUCAAGCAGAAGACUGCAGUACAUUGUUUGAAACAAAAUACACAUCUGAGUCCACAUUGAGCCUAAUUCUCAAGUUUUGCUUCAUGGAAAUGGAUGUUCAGAGAGAGCUAGGGACUUACCCAGUGGACACAGAGUGGCUCUCCAAUACACUGGGAUUCAAAUGUGGGUUUUCUGAAUCCGAGUCUGGUGACUUUUCUACUGCGUGGUCUUCCUGUUAGAGAAAUUGGAAGAGAAACCUGGAAUGAUAAGUAUGGCGAAAUUACAAAUACUCUUCAAGAUGAGGAUUUAGACGGUAUUCAGAGACUAGCUGAGACCUUAGAGCGGGAUGGCGGAAGCCUGAGCUUAGCGGGUGGGGUCAGUGAGAAUUUCCGGCACGUGGUUAAGACAGUGAUUGGGAAGGAGCAAGGCAGUGUCAGAAUGACCCCAAACAGUAAUGGGAUGUGGAAAAUGGCUACGGGCAGAGCCAAGGAGAGAAAUCAAUGAAAGAUGAUAGAUUCCUGGACUACUGGGCCCUUUCUUCAACUACCCUCCCUAUCCUACUGAACAAAAUGAUGCAGAGGGUAGUGAAAACCAUGUGAAUGGUUCGAGAGAAGAAAAUGAAAAUCCCAUGACGGAACCCCGAGAUGCCUAUUCAACACAAUUCAUCUAUGAAGAGCCCACUUCGGGGCUGGAGACCACUGUGGAUUCUGAACUCUAUCAGCCAUGAAGAUGGGGAGGGGCUCCGAUUUUCAAUACCAAAAAGUAUAUGAUCAGUCCCAGUGAGGCAAACAUCUGAGUUUGGACACUGCAUUUUCUGCUCAGUGAAACCCUUUGACCUAAACAAACUGUAAUCAAAGUCAUAGUCCUGCCAUCCAGUAUCACAGACGUAAAAGAGAUCGAAACUGGCGUGUGAUACUAUUGCUUUCUUCAUUUCAUAACCGCAAGGCAAUGCACUGAUCACAGAGCGCAUCUGUGUGCACAGGAGCCUCCUGUCCAGGUGGCAGGCCCAGUGGGUCCCAGAUCCCCCACUUUCCAGCUUGUCUGUUGCUAUUUGCUAUUGCUCAACCCUCUGGUCAGCAACGAUUCCCGAGGGUGGACCAGAGUUUCCGAAAGUUCUGAAGGAGAAAAUUUCAUCAGCAAAGUAAUCAUUUCUGCUGGGAUGGAAAAAAAAAGGAGGCCAGUGUGAAUGACAAAACAGCUGUGGACCACCAAAAAAGUCAACUGGAAUUGGACGGGGAUAGACCGGGAAAAGAAAGAAAGGGAAAAUUGUUCCGAAGGCAUAGAUUUAAAGGGAAAAUGAAUCAGAAAAGAUUUCUGAAGUGUUAGAAUGCACUGCCUAAUAACUUUAAAUAGUCCAUUGAGUCUUCCGGAAUUUUUUUUUUGUUCUUCUUCAAGAAUAAUCUGCUUACAUCGUUAAGACCCGAGCUAAGCUCAGUAACACAAAUUACCAGAUGUUGUAACCCCUAGUUUCUCCAUCAAAAGACCAACCACCAAGCUUGUUGAAAGAGAGAGGUCAUUGUCCCUCCCUAGCUAUAAAACUAUUUUUGCAACUCCUAACAAAUGAAACGAGAAUACCUUUCAGCUGUCCGAGGAACCUGCGGCCCACCCCUUCCAAGUGUCCCUGGUUUGCUUUGUGAUUUUCUAAUAACGCACUCAUGUGUAAGCUAAUAACAUGAACAGAGGGAAAAUGAAGAGACUGAAGGAAAAAAGAGGGAAAAAGCAGAAUGAAUUAGGGCAAUUGAGGUCGCUCUGUUUCAUUUUUGCUGGGAGGAUUUGAGCCUUCGUUUAUACCUUAUCGCUUAUUCCACAAUUUACGAUAAAAUGAGAUGUGACUCCAUAGUUAUUGUCCUGCUCUCGCCCAUUGGACAUGCAUACAUAGAAUUCAUUUCAGAUUUAAACACUAUCUUAAUUAUACACCGAAUACAAUGGACAACCUAUUGGAAUCUCUAAAUUGCAUUCUCAGAAAUAGUUUCAUUUUUAUCACAUUUCUACUUAUGACAUAUUGGGUAUAAUAAUGCUCAGGGAAUAGUCCUUUUUUUUUUAAUGCAGUACCUUAAUUAUGCCUAAGUAUUUUCCAUUCAACAGCUAAUUGUUGGUUUUUUUUCUGACUUACAAGUUUGAGGAGUUUAACUGUAUGUCGUGCCUCAUAAUAUUUUUCAUGAGGUUCUGCCUAUUAAUCAGGAAAUCUUCAUGUUUUUAAAUCACCUAUAAACGUGUUACACAAUGACGAUAUUACAUGCAACUUCCUAUUUUUUUUAAAAGUAGUGUGACUGUUGUUUGUACUUAGAAACUUUUCCGACAAAAGCCACGCAGCAAAUUGGAAAAAUUGCGAGACAUAUUCACAUUGUGUUUUAAAUGAAGUGUACAGUUAAUAAAAUAUCAAAUGUAGUUUUUAAAGAAAACAUAUGUGUACAUGAACCUAAAAAGUUUAGUCUUAUGUUUAUAUUUAUUUGCCAUAAACAGAGAAAAUUGCCGGAAAGAAAAGUUAUGUACGUGACAAAACCUAUAGUUUUAGAGUUAGUAUAGUCCUUACAAGGGUAAUGUGAGUUAAUGUAACAAUAUAAGUCCUAAUUGUCAGAAUAUGACAUGAUGUAUUUUAUUAAAACAUUGAUUAAUAUUAAUAUGACAUUUUAAAAUAUAAACAAUAAUCAAGUUUAGAAAACUGGUAUUAGAAAUUAUAGACAACAUAUGACUUUGUAAUCAAGCAUGUAUUUUAAUAUGUGGCAUUUACUAAAGACUUUCAUAACUUAAAGUGACUUAAAGGUAAUUUUGUACAUCUACUAAGUGACCAUUUCAGGGACGACAUGUGCAAGCAAAAGAACUACCACUUUGAUGGCUGUUUAUUUAAUGUGCUAAGUUUACCAAACAGGUUCAUUUACUUACUGGAUAUUGCUAUAUUUCUGUAUAUUAUUCAGAGUAAAUGAUACAUAUCUAUAAAAACACACAUAACUUUAGAUUUCUGUUUUCUUCUUUGCAAAGUUCCCCAUGCAGCUUGUAAAAAGUAGAUCCGGCCAAGUGGUCGUUUAGAAUAGAGCCUGGUGUGCCUCAAGUUUGCACGUCUAAAUAUAGCAUCUGUCCCGCAAGAUCUUCAGGCCACCGGGGCUGCCUCCUAAUGUCACUUUACAAAGAAAAGUCGAGUCAUUUCUCUCCCUGUCUCUCUCUUUUCCUUGCACGUUAAGCAGGGGCUGGCUGAACACACUCACGCGCAUGCACGCACCUACGGAUACAAUUUUUAGGUAUUUUUUCCCCAUUUAAAUGAUUUGCUAUCGCAGUUACUCCAUCUUUUAUCUCUCAAAUAGUUUCAACCCUGUUAAUGCAGGCAUGUACUUUUUUCUUAUCAGCCCCUCGGCAGCAUUUGUGAUUCAUAGCAGCCAUCACCGUGAUAAUAAACUCAUUCACAAUACUAACAAACGCGGGGGCUCCCAGUUAUUUACGUGGCAAAUUCACUGCAAGGCUGGGCUGUGGAACAGGGGAGAAUCAAGAUGGUGUUGAUUGAUAAAUUGACAGGUUAAUUUACAAGUGGAUAAUAGGAGUUAGACCCGGAGGGAGACAGGGGAGCAUCUGAAGUCUAGCUUGGUUACACUGCCAUCUGUCUGAAGUCCCGAAAUCUGCAGGACGGCGGGCUGACGGGAAUCACAGACAUGCACAUUCUUCAUAACUUAAAGACAAAGACCACCAUUGACUCCUGUCUGAUGGGUUUCCAGCCUGUGAUCUUCCCACAGCGGACCCUCAGCAUGUCAAAAAACAAUGCCACGUCCCAGGGCGGCUCAUCGGCCCUGCUUCCAAUGUGAUUUAGAAUAAGUUAUUUUGCCUGUUGCAAAACGAAACAAACCAAAUUGUUUUCCAGAUGAUAUUUCACAAAUAUUAAUAGUCCUUUGGUUGCUGAUGGCCGAAAUGUAUUCUUUCAAGUUUCAGAGGCCUUCGGUAUGUCUUUGUUCUGGGGGUGUAUGUCAUCGCCACCCCUCAAAAUAUUAUUUUUCUUUAAAAAAAAUCCUUGGUAUUAAAUGUGGCCGGUCUAGCUGUUUAGAAGCUAUGAUGAAACGAAUUCUGUGAAUCUCAGAUUAAAUA
Molecule: long non-coding RNA, 5430 nt
Organism: Artibeus jamaicensis (Jamaican fruit-eating bat)
Lineage: Eukaryota; Metazoa; Chordata; Mammalia; Chiroptera; Phyllostomidae
Exons: 4
Source: RefSeq, a predicted model, not a curated record